AUACGGAGGGUGCAAGCGUUAUCCGGAAUCAUUGGGUUUAAAGGGUCCGUAGGCGGACUAUUAAGUCAGAGGUGAAAUCCCACAGCUCAACUGUGGAACUGCCUUUGAUACUGGUAGUCUUGAGUUAUAUGGAAGUAGAUAGAAUGUGUAGUGUAGCGGUGAAAUGCAUAGAUAUUACACAGAAUACCGAUUGCGAAGGCAGUCUACUACGUAUAUACUGACGCUAAGGGACGAAAGCGUGGGGAGCGAACAGAAGUAGAAACCCCGGUAGUCC
This 274-nucleotide ribosomal RNA is filed under the name uncultured bacterium. Its description in RNAcentral is "partial 16S ribosomal RNA". It matches the Rfam family "Bacterial small subunit ribosomal RNA", at positions 523 to 796 of the family's 1533-position model. The record is from RNAcentral.